This 582-nucleotide ribosomal RNA is filed under the name Triticum aestivum (bread wheat). RNAcentral describes it as "partial small subunit ribosomal RNA". The record is from RNAcentral. Lineage: Eukaryota; Viridiplantae; Streptophyta; Magnoliopsida; Poales; Poaceae.
AUGGUUGAGGGAUCCGUGAUGGAUAUCAUGAACCUCAAGUUCAUCCUCUUAUGCUUCCAGCAUCUGUCAGGUCUCAAGAUUAACUUCGACAAGAGCCAGGUGAUGGUGUUAGGCUACUCUCCUGAGGAGAGUCAGAGUAUUGACAACCGGCUUAACUGCCCAUUGGGUUCUUUCCCCAUUACCUACUUGGGGAUCCCCAUUAGCGACUCCGGCCUGACGGUUAUUGAUUUGAGGCCUUCGGUGCUCAAACUUCAACACCGCAUCGAACCAUGGCAUGGUAGAUGGAUCUCAAAGGCGGCUCAGACUAUUCUCACUAACUCCAACCUAUCCAGCCUCCUGUUGUUCAUUAUGAGCUUUUACAGCCUGCCCGAGACUUUGCACCACGAGAUUGGCACGAUCCAAUCUCGCUUUUUCUGGAUGGGCGAGGGAGACAAGCAAAAAUAUCACAUGGUCUGAUGGUCCAAGAUUUGCAAGCCUCAUGACCAAGGUGGCCUUGGGAUUAUGUCCUCCAAACGCAUGAACAUCGCCCUUCUUGCUUGAUGGCUUUGGCGGAUCUCCAGUGGUGAGGGUGGUCUUUGGCUG